Molecule: ribosomal RNA, 405 nt
Filed under: uncultured Desulfobulbus sp.
Lineage: Bacteria; Pseudomonadati; Thermodesulfobacteriota; Desulfobulbia; Desulfobulbales; Desulfobulbaceae
Description: bacterial SSU rRNA
Rfam family: Bacterial small subunit ribosomal RNA
Source: RNAcentral
ACAUCCCGGAGACCCUUAGGAAACUAGGGGUGCUUCCAUCUGGAAGAAUCUGGAGACAGGUGCUGUAUGGCUGUCGUCAGCUCGUGUCGUGAGAUGUUGGGUUAAGUCCCGCAACGAGCGCAACCCUUGCCUUUAGUUGCCAGCAGUUCGGCUGGGCACUCUAAAGGGACUGCCGGUGUUAAACCGGAGGAAGGUGGGGAGUGACGUCAAGUCCUCAUGGCCUUUAUGACCAGGGCUACACACGUACUACAAUGGCCGAUACAAAGGGCAGCGACACUGCGAGGUGAAGCCAAUCCCGUAAAAAUCGGUCUCAGUCCGGAUUGGAGUCUGCAACUCGACUCCAUGAAGUUGGAAUCGCUAGUAAUCGUGGAUCAGCAUGCCACGGUGAAUACGUUCCCGGGCCUU